RNAcentral lists this ribosomal RNA (447 nucleotides) under uncultured bacterium. Its description in RNAcentral is "bacterial SSU rRNA". It matches the Rfam family "Bacterial small subunit ribosomal RNA", at positions 355 to 825 of the family's 1533-position model. The record is from RNAcentral.
UGGGGAAUAUUGGACAAUGGGCGAAAGCCUGAUCCAGCAAUGCCGCGUGAGUGAUGAAGGCCUUAGGGUUGUAAAGCUCUUUUACCAGGGAUGAUAAUGACAGUACCUGGAGAAUAAGCUCCGGCUAACUCCGUGCCAGCAGCCGCGGUAAUACGGAGGGAGCUAGCGUUGUUCGGAAUUACUGGGCGUAAAGCGUACGUAGGCGGUUAUUCAAGUCAGAGGUGAAAGCCCGGGGCUCAACCCCGGAACGGCCUUUGAAACUAGAUAGCUAGAAUCUUGGAGAGGUCAGUGGAAUUCCGAGUGUAGAGGUGAAAUUCGUAGAUAUUCGGAAGAACACCAGUGGCGAAGGCGACUGACUGGACAAGUAUUGACGCUGAGGUACGAAAGCGUGGGGAGCAAACAGGAUUAGAUACCCCAGUAGUCCCUGAGCGGGCUGGCAAGGCGCAU